AUGCUGAACCCCCUGUGCAGCAGUGAACCGAGAGGUUUUCUAGUAUUUUUUUUACCAAAUUUGCCAGAGAGAUAUUUAACUAUGUCUCUGGAUUUAAUCUUGAACUACCUUAUGGUAACAACUUUUAGUCCCGACACAAACCAACUAGUAACGAUUCAAGCAAAAUCGCUGGAGAAUUGGCUCAAAACAAUGAUUUACCCUUGUGUAGAACAAACCAAGAGAAUUUCUGAAUCUUUUUUUUGUCGAAAUACUGAACCCCUUGUGCAGAAGAAAAUCAAGAGAAUUUCUGAAUCUUUUUUUGGUCGAAAUACUGAACCCCUUGUGCAGAAGAAAACCAAGAGAAUUUCUAGCUCUUUUUCAUAG
RNAcentral lists this ribosomal RNA (363 nucleotides) under Triticum aestivum (bread wheat). RNAcentral's name for it is "partial small subunit ribosomal RNA". Lineage: Eukaryota; Viridiplantae; Streptophyta; Magnoliopsida; Poales; Poaceae. The record is from RNAcentral.